Molecule: long non-coding RNA, 666 nt
Organism: Meriones unguiculatus (Mongolian gerbil)
Lineage: Eukaryota; Metazoa; Chordata; Mammalia; Rodentia; Muridae
Exons: 5
Source: RefSeq, a predicted model, not a curated record
AGCCUGUUAGAAAUCCCCAUAAGGUUUUUAUUCGUCACAGGGGAAACCCCAGCUCUUGCAACUUUCUCAUUGCUGGUGCCUCUGUGUCAGGAAAGGCACGGUGGCCGGCAAGGUCGCUGUCGUUCUUACGAGGAGCGGGACGUCCUCGCGGCAGUGUGCAUUGUGUUCACCCUGUAAGUGAACACACGUGGCCGUGGUCUUUUCCCAGCAGGCACUACAGAGCUGUGGUUCCGACAGCCGGCUGCAUAACCCUCCUCGUGGACCUGCAGCGGAAGCUCUGUGGGCAGCAGAAUGCUAAUGCUCGUCCCCAGUUAACUUUGGCUUAUCAGACACCAGUCACCUGAUCCAUACCAGGCACUGUGUUGGACUCCCUGAGUGAAAAGGAAAAGAAUCCUGCUGCAGUCUGCUCUUUAUAGCGAUUUCCUGCCCAGCAUAUGGUGCCAUUACGCUUGGAGUCACACAAUCAAAUAUUCAGGAAUUGUCUAGUCCAGCACAAAGCCGUACCGGAAACAGAAGAAAUGAGCAAUAUUUUGAAAUACAAAUUCAGGACACAGAAAGGCAAAGAAGAUGGACAUCAGAAGAAGAAGAAAACAGGAAACAACCUAGGAACCUACCACAGAGGGCCUCUGAAAGCCUCUGCCCUUCAGACUAUCAAAGCAGAUGCUG